RNAcentral lists this ribosomal RNA (745 nucleotides) under uncultured Alphaproteobacteria bacterium. RNAcentral's name for it is "bacterial SSU rRNA". It matches the Rfam family "Bacterial small subunit ribosomal RNA", at positions 41 to 818 of the family's 1533-position model. The record is from RNAcentral. Lineage: Bacteria; Pseudomonadati; Pseudomonadota; Alphaproteobacteria.
GGCAGGCUUAACACAUGCAAGUCGAGCGCCCACUUCGGUGGGAGCGGCAGACGGGUGAGUAACGCGUGGGAAUCUACCCAAUUCUACGGAACAACUCAGGGAAACUUGAGCUAAUACCGUAUACGCCCCCUUAUAGAGAUAUUUGGGGGGAAAGAUUUAUCGGAGUUGGAUGAGCCCGCGUUUGAUUAGCUAGUUGGUGGGGUAAUGGCCUACCAAGGCGACGAUCAAUAGCUGGUCUGAGAGGAUGAUCAGCCACACUGGGACUGAGACACGGCCCAGACUCCUACGGGAGGCAGCAGUGGGGAAUAUUGGACAAUGGGCGCAAGCCUGAUCCAGCCAUGCCGCGUGAGUGAAGAAGGCCCUAGGGUUGUAAAGCUCUUUCAACGGUGAAGAUAAUGACGGUAACCGUAGAAGAAGCCCCGGCUAACUUCGUGCCAGCAGCCGCGGUAAUACGAAGGGGGCUAGCGUUGUUCGGAUUUACUGGGCGUAAAGCGCACGUAGGCGGAUCGUUAAGUGAGGGGUGAAAUCCCAGGGCUCAACCCUGGAACUGCCUCUCAUACUGGCGAUCUUGAGUUCGAGAGAGGUGAGNGGAAUUCCGAGUGUAGAGGUGAAAUUCGUAGAUAUUCGGAGGAACACCAGUGGCGAAGGCGGCUCACUGGCUCGAUACUGACGCUGAGGUGCGAAAGCGUGGGGAGCANACAGGAUUAGAUACCCUGGUAGUCCACGCCGUANACGAUGAAUGUUA